CAGGUGCUGAGGUGGUGUGCAUUGAAAAUCCCCAUUGAGAGGAGGCACAAGAGCUUCGCAUGCAAAUGACCAGCAUAUCUGGAUUGGAAGGACUGUGACUGUGGAGGACAGAGUGUCAGUGGAGCCCAUAUUUUCUCCUGACCAUUCAUCUCUAAGCUGUCCUGCUAUUCCAGAAAGGACACAGAUGGCAGUGCUCCCAAACUCCCUCCCCAAGUGUCUGCUCACCAUCGUGCUCCUGCUGCUGACCUGCUGACUCGGGUCCUGCUCAUUCUCUAGCAGGUCACUUUGAASUGCUUGGACCUCAGGAGCCCAUCCUGGCUUUCAUGGGUGAGGACUCUGAGCUUCGUUGUCACCUGACCUCUGGCUAAAUGCUGAGCACAUGGAGCUGUGGUGGUUCCGGAACACCUUCUCACCUGCCAUGUUGGUGCUCCAGGAUGGGCGGGAGCAGGAGGGAGAGCAGAUGUCCGAGUACCGUGGGACACAUGGCCCUGCAGAUACACCGCAUCGGGACCUCUGAUGAAGGGCUGUAUGGGUGCUCCUUCAGAGACAAGCAAGCCCAGGGAGAAGCCUUCAUGAAUCUGAAAGUAGCUGCACUGGGGAUCAAACUAGCUGUGUGCCUUCGAGGCAAGUGCUUUGCCAYGCCACGGAGCUACUUUCCAAGCCCUGAAGUGCCAUUUUAUAUUGAUACCUCAGUCCCUUUGAAAUGAUGAGUUGUGCUGUACCCACUUCUGGAUUUCUCAGCAAUGAACUCCAAGCCUCACGYCACCAUGGAAGUUCAGGAGAGUAGCGAGGUCUGGCUGGAGUACACCUCCGUGGGGUGGUACCCAGAGCCCCAGGUGCAGUGGAGAUCUACCAAGGGAGAGGAGUUCCUGGCCACAUCAGAGUCCAGGAGUCCUGACGAGGAAGGCCUGUUCACUGUGGCAGCCUCAGUGACCCUCAGGGACAGCUCCAUGGACAGUGUGUCCUGCUGCAUCCGGAACCUCCUUCUUGGCCAGGAGAAGGAAGUAGGGAUUUCCAUUCCAGCUCCCUUCUGGCCAUUUUGGAAAACCUUCCUGUGUCCUGCAGUGCUCCUGGGCCUUGUCAUUGCUGCACAGUUUUUGCUUGGAAACUAUAAGAAAGAAGGAGAAAGAGAAAUGACAAAACUGGCCCCAUAGAAUGGGAACUGGCUCCUUCACAUGCAGGUAGGUGCACUCCGGGCUUUGAGAUAUAACUCCCAGGAACUCAAAGACCUAGAACAGGAGAGGCUGAUACACUAUGGUCACAAGCACUGGACAUUUUAAGUUGUGGGGAAAUCCUGAUGUUUCCUUGGGACACAGAGGGCUUUUGGGCCCAGAGACAAGUCCCCUGUGAAGGGCCACGUUAGGCACUGUGUGCCCUGGACAGUCAGUUCCUGCAUCACAGGAGACCCAAACUGCACAGCAGCGAGGCCGCUCCCACUGAGACCACCAUGUUAGCCCACUGCUGCUUCUUUGGAGAAGAGAGGACAGGUCCUGUGACUGACUGCCACUGACGGUCACACUCUCUGUUUCCAGUUGAUGUGACCUGGAUCCAGACACAGCCCACCCUCACCUUUUUCUGUACGAAGAACGCAAAAUCUGUUCCACUGGAGGAUUCACGCCAGAAGCCUGAAAAUCCAGAGAGAUUUYUUUUUUAUUGGUUAUUCAGAACAUUACAAAACUCUGACAUAUCAUUUUUCAUACAUUYGAUUCAAGUGGGUUAUGAACUCCCAUUUUUACCCCAAAUACAGAUUGCAGAAUCCCAUCAUCCAGAGAGAUUUGACUGGUGGCCRUGUGUGCUGGGCUGAGAGGUCUUCACCGAGGGGCAGCAUUACUGGGAGGUGGAGGUGGGGGACAGGACCGACUGGCGGGUUGGGGUGUGUAGGGAGAAUGUGAAGAAGAAGGGGUUCAUCCUCAUGUCUCCCAAGGCUGGCUUCUGRGUCCUGGAAUUAUCUGGAAAGGGGUACUGGGCGCUCACUCCACUCUGGACCCUUCUCCAGUUGGCAAGAACCCCUCGCAGGGUUGGGAUUUCCCUGAACUAGGAGUCAGGAACUGUCUCCUUUACAAUGUGAACGACAGGUCCCACACCUACACCUUCUCCAAGCCCUCUUUCCCUGGCCCCGAUCGUCCUUUAUUCUGCCUAUGGUCUUGUGAUGAGAAGCCCCUGACUAUGUAUCCAGUGGUCAGGCCUCAGGAAGUCACCAUCAUUGCUGAUGUCUAGGCCCUUUAUGGAGAUUCUGUUGUAUGGGAGCUGCCCUGAAUGACCACGCCUUCCAGUCCAGAAGCACRAGGCUCUAACCAGUCACUUGGUGGUGACUUGGACAUUGUCUCAGCUGGGGUAGCAAGGCAGGUCUCUUGUGUAGGCAUCACCCCCUGGGGUUGAGCU
Long non-coding RNA from Urocitellus parryii (Arctic ground squirrel), 2382 nucleotides. RefSeq lists it as uncharacterized. The record is from RefSeq and is a predicted model, not a curated record. Lineage: Eukaryota; Metazoa; Chordata; Mammalia; Rodentia; Sciuridae.